Caerostris darwini is the source of this 78-nucleotide non-coding RNA. The record is from the annotation of a GenBank genome assembly. Lineage: Eukaryota; Metazoa; Arthropoda; Arachnida; Araneae; Araneidae.
UAGUACACCGAAGUCAAGCAUCAUCGGGCGCGGUCAGUACUUGGGUGGGUGACCACCUGGGAACACCGCGUGCCGUUG